Molecule: ribosomal RNA, 427 nt
Filed under: uncultured bacterium
Lineage: Bacteria
Description: partial 16S ribosomal RNA
Rfam family: Bacterial small subunit ribosomal RNA
Source: RNAcentral
UGGGGAAUAUUGCACAAUGGGCGCAAGCCUGAUGCAGCCAUGCCGCGUGUAUGAAGAAGGCCUUCGGGUUGUAAAGUACUUUCAGCGGGGAGGAAGGCGAUAAGGUUAAUAACCUUGUCGAUUGACGUUACCCGCAGAAGAAGCACCGGCUAACUCCGUGCCAGCAGCCGCGGUAAUACGGAGGGUGUAAGCGUUAAUCGGAAUUACUGGGCGUAAAGCGCACGCAGGCGGUCUGUCAAGUCGGAUGUGAAAUCCCCGGGUUCAACCUGGGAACUGCAUUCGAAACUGGCAGGCUAGAGUCUUGUAGAGGGGGGUAGAAUUCCAGGUGUAGCGGUGAAAUGCGUAGAGAUCUGGAGGAAUACCGGUGGCGAAGGCGGCCCCCUGGACAAAGACUGACGCUCAGGUGCGAAAGCGUGGGGAGCAAACA